This 498-nucleotide ribosomal RNA is filed under the name uncultured bacterium. RNAcentral's name for it is "partial 16S ribosomal RNA". It matches the Rfam family "Bacterial small subunit ribosomal RNA", at positions 30 to 523 of the family's 1533-position model. The record is from RNAcentral.
AUUGAACGCUGGCGGCAUGCCUUACACAUGCAAGUCGAACGGUAACAGGUCUUCGGAUGCUGACGAGUGGCGAACGGGUGAGUAAUACAUCGGAACGUGCCUAGUAGUGGGGGAUAACUACUCGAAAGAGUGGCUAAUACCGCAUGAGAUCUACGGAUGAAAGCAGGGGAUCGCAAGACCUUGUGCUACUAGAGCGGCCGAUGGCAGAUUAGGUAGUUGGUGGGAUAAAAGCUUACCAAGCCGACGAUCUGUAGCUGGUCUGAGAGGACGAUCAGCCACACUGGGACUGGGAAACGGCCCAGACUCCUACGGGAGGCAGCAGUGGGGAAUUUUGGACAAUGGGCGAAAGCCUGAUCCAGCAAUGCCGCGUGCAGGAUGAAGGCCUUCGGGUUGUAAACUGCUUUUGUACGGAACGGAAAGCCCCGGGUUAAUACCCUGGGGUCAUGACGGUACCGUAAGAAUAAGCACCGGCUAACUACGUGCCAGCCGCCGCCGUAA